UGAGUCGGCUGGGUGGCCGCGGCUCGGCAGUGACCGGGUCGAGGAAGGUCGGGGCUCCGCAGGGCAGGGUGCUGGCUAGCGGCCAGUCGAGGUGACUCGCAGGACAGUGCCACAGAGAACAGACCGCCGAUGGCCCGGGCGACCGGGCACAGGCAAGGGUGAAACGGUGCGGUAAGAGCGCACCAGCGCCCGGGGCGACCCGGGCGGCUCGGUAAACCCCACCCGGAGCAAGGCCAUACGUGGGCGUGGAUGGCCCGUCCGCCCGGAAGGGCACCCCACGGGUAGGCCGCACAGAUGGAUGGCCACCCAUCGGGAUCCCGGUAACGGACCCGUGGACAGAACCCCGCCUACAGGCCGACUCACCUU
This 366-nucleotide RNase P RNA is filed under the name Acidimicrobiia bacterium. RNAcentral describes it as "RNase P RNA component class A". It matches the Rfam family "Bacterial RNase P class A". From Rfam's summary of the family: Ribonuclease P (RNase P) is a ubiquitous endoribonuclease, found in archaea, bacteria and eukarya as well as chloroplasts and mitochondria. Its best characterised activity is the generation of mature 5'-ends of tRNAs by cleaving the 5'-leader elements of precursor-tRNAs. Lineage: Bacteria; Bacillati; Actinomycetota; Acidimicrobiia. The record is from RNAcentral.